GCCGAAGUAGCUCAGUUGGUAGAGCAACCGCCUUGUAAGCGGUAGGUCGCGAGUUCGAGUCUCGCCUUCGGCUCCA
This 76-nucleotide transfer RNA is filed under the name Candidatus Nomurabacteria bacterium. RNAcentral's name for it is "tRNA-Thr". It matches the Rfam family "tRNA". From Rfam's summary of the family: Transfer RNA (tRNA) molecules are approximately 80 nucleotides in length. Their secondary structure includes four short double-helical elements and three loops (D, anti-codon, and T loops). The record is from RNAcentral. Lineage: Bacteria; Candidatus Nomuraibacteriota.